This 35-nucleotide non-coding RNA is filed under the name unclassified sequences. Its description in RNAcentral is "DUF805b RNA". It matches the Rfam family "DUF805b RNA". From Rfam's summary of the family: Bacteroidetes, Chlorobi (1 example), Proteobacteria. The record is from RNAcentral.
GAGGCGGCAACCGAAAAGCCAUAAGAGAGUAGGUA